ACCUUGAUGGAAAGUGGAAAUAAAUCACAGACGGAUUAAUAUGACGGUUAACUGUCUAAUUACGACAAAUGGUGUACACUAUUCAGACUUUAUCCUACAUUUUUGUAGUCAAUUCGGAAAGCUUCAUUUUCAAAGUAUUUACCACAUGUUAGGAGACGUGAAAAUUGUUCACGAGGGUAGUGCGCAGCAGCAAAAUAUGCUAUUCAUUAUUUGGGCAGCUCCUGCUACGUACUCGUAAGAGACAGAGUCUGACUUUGGGGUACACUUAGUCGAUAUUGUGUUAAUUAUCCUCCUGACAUGCGGCCAUCAGCGAAUAGUAAGACUAGAUUUUCUUUUGGUGGAAAAAAGAGUAAACACAUGCAUGUUCAAUCACUAUAAUACUCUGAAAAUGAAAGUUUCUGAUUGAAUCUGAAGGGACAUUUCGUCAACUUAUCGUCACCUCUUUUGAUACUUGGAAAAGAAAGUGGUUGAGUAGAGCUACAAAUUUACUCACUAAUAGGAUGAUGUUUCCAGUUUCCAUCGCUGAAUACGGGUGGGAUUUACUUGUAAAUUCAUACAACGCGUUCACAAAAGUAAAUUAAAUGCACAAGGGUUUGAAGACCACGUCGUCGGGAUGAGGACUCGCUUCCUCUUCUAUGUAGUGGUGUGGAUAAUGAGCUAAGCAAUCCACGGCACCAAAUACUCGGUGAAUAACUGCUUGACCAAAGAACAGAGUUAAAAUAUUGAUCAGCCAUAAUGUAUUUAAUUAUUUAUUUGAGGACAUCCGACUUCCGAUCGUUGUUCGAACUAGGUUUAAGGCACAAUAACAAAACAACAUAACCUCAUCAACACACCGCCACGCCGCGCCGGUAAGUCGUUGGUCGUUGCCGGUGAGGAGGCAACGAGGAGAGGGGCAAGGGGCAAUUACUUUCCGCCAUUUUGCUAAUGGUAUUGUUCCCGGUUCCCGGUCCCGCGCGUUUCUUUGUCUUGUCCAGGAAUUUCUGUGAAUGUGCGUGGUGCGUCUUGUCUUGUGCUUUCGACUGGUUGACUAAUGUACUUUCGUAUCAUGCUUCGUAUCUAAAAGUCAAAAGAGUGUUCCAUAAGUUCUUGAUCUGCGUCGCAGUAUUGCCUCCCUCCAACUCCAACAAUGAGCGGAUCAAAACCGACCAAAGAUUCUGCAAACCCAAAUGAACCACUGGUAGAAGAUCUUUGGACUCUAGUCUUCAACCUGGAGGAAGAUGAAUAUGAUGUUUUUUCAAACAACUGGAUCAAAGAUGAUGAGGAAAUUGAAAGAGGCGUAUUCAAUGCUAAAUAUCCUCCGGAGAGGUUUAAUGCCAAUGUUUAGCAAAAAAAGGACAAAAAUAUACGGAUGAAUGGAAAACUGUGACUGUUAAAUUAAUCGAAAAGAACUAUCGUAAGCAUCUUCCUAAUUUUUUCCAAUUUCAGCAUCUCAUACUUUAAUCCUAUUAAUUUCCAUCUAAUUUGUGUCCUUCAAGUUAG
This 1479-nucleotide long non-coding RNA is filed under the name Bemisia tabaci. RNAcentral's name for it is "lncRNA ENSSSA3NGG014446". The record is from RNAcentral. Lineage: Eukaryota; Metazoa; Arthropoda; Insecta; Hemiptera; Aleyrodidae.